This 400-nucleotide ribosomal RNA is filed under the name uncultured bacterium. Its description in RNAcentral is "bacterial SSU rRNA". It matches the Rfam family "Bacterial small subunit ribosomal RNA", at positions 356 to 773 of the family's 1533-position model. The record is from RNAcentral.
GGGGAAUAUUGGACAAUGGGCGAAAGCCUGAUCCAGCCAUGCCGCGUGAGUGAUGAAGGCCUUCGGGUUGUAAAACUCUUUCGACGGGGACGAUAAUGACGGUACCCGUAGAAGAAGCUCCGGCUAACUUCGUGCCAGCAGCCGCGGUAAUACGAAGGGGGCUAGCGUUGUUCGGAAUUACUGGGCGUAAAGCGCGCGCAGGCGGCUAUCCAAGUCAGUGGUGAAAGCCCGGAGCUCAACUCCGGAACUGCCAUUGAAACUGUUUAGCUUGAGGAUGAGAGAGGUGAGUGGAAUUCCCAGUGUAGAGGUGAAAUUCGUAGAUAUUGGGAAGAACACCGGUGGCGAAGGCGGCUCACUGGCUCAUUACUGACGCUCAGGCGCGAUAGCGUGGGGAUCAAAC